This 1145-nucleotide long non-coding RNA is filed under the name Chrysolophus pictus (golden pheasant). RNAcentral's name for it is "lncRNA (ENSCPIG00010004899.1)". Lineage: Eukaryota; Metazoa; Chordata; Aves; Galliformes; Phasianidae. The record is from RNAcentral.
AUGUGGCUGGAAAGCUGUGCCCACAUGGAAACUCCUGCAUUUACCAUCUCAGCUCCACUGGAUAUGAAUAUCUUACCCCCUUCUGUCAAAUUCUUGUUGUUGGUCUACGACAUAAGUAUUUUCUUGCAAGACAGACCUGUCUCAGGUUCCAUCCCUGCAACUAGAGCAGCAAAUGGUCACUCUAGGAAAAGUUUUCUGCACUGCAACCCGCUAAGUGCCCUGCUGCUGUCAAAUCUCAGUGAUCAAAGACAGGAGUCACACUCUGCAUGUUUAGGUUAAACAUGAUGGGGUUAAAAACAAUGUUAGGUAAUUAACAUUGGGCAGAGCUCCACCCAGCCAGGUGUGUGCGCAGGAUUAGCUCUGCACAGCCCUGGAGAAAAGAGGUACUGCAAUGUGCACAGAUGGCAGGAACUGCAGCCUCUCAACCAGACAUCCUUCCAGAUCCAGCCACUGUCUGGGACAGUGGUACUGGCCAUAUGAAAAUUCUAGCUACCAUGAAGCUUUGUGGAUUUACCCCUAAAAAGGAAGGAGAAAUGGAACCCACAAAUGGGUUACUCAGCCCGCCCUCCAUGCCUUAUACCAUCAUGUAUCAAAUAUUUUGUUGACCAUAUUGCUUCUGAGAACAAUCCUAAUACAAAACAGAUGCAGAAAAAAUCUUUUCUGGUUCAGAUUUCAAGACUUCACCAGAAGGGAGCAGGAGAGACUUGCAGAAAAGCUCCACUUAACAUAUGUACUGUGGACAGUGCUGUCCUGCACAGAGCCUGAUCACAGUCAGGCUCCCAGAGAUACAACUGCAAGAAUAAGAAAUCUCAUCAACAAGCUCUUGUGACCUGGGAAAUUGUACCUUUGCAUGCGACACAGUAUGUAUUAUGUGGGAAUACAGGAAAAACUGUUCAGAGCAGAAGCUGUGGAGCAAGAUAAACAGCAUGAGAACCAAGGACACCUCUAGAAGAAGAAAGAACGUCUCCCAGCUCCGACUGGAUAAACGCCUGUGUGAACGGUUGAAGAGUGUUUUGUAGAAUGCUCUGCUGACAUGUAAAGGUGGAUGGGAAAGUUGUAGGGAUGAAUGGGAAAGCUAGAAAAAGAAAACUUGUGAAGCUAUAUAAGUGAUGUGAGAACUUGUAAUAAACAAUUUGGAUCAUUCA